UUAUUUACACAAUACAAAAUAAAAUAUUUUAAUAAUAUAUAUGAUUAAAAAAAAAUUUGCAAUACCAAUGGUGUAUCAUCAAGGAGAAGAUGAAUAUAUUAUAUUUUAUCAAUAUUCCACAAGUAUACAUUCUGCUACGAGGGACUAAAGAUUACAGAUACUACAAUAUAUUCCACAAAAAUAUAUAGGGUGAUUCGCCAAGCAUGUUCAGUGCUCACGCUCAUUUUUCCCUUUAUAAUGAAUUCCAUUGAAAUCCAUCAGAGGAUCCGUACGUGUAUUGUAAGGUUCCGAAGUGAAGGCGUCCGAAAGUAAGGCGAAGCGACUUUGGGUCGAGUAAAGGUACGUGAAAGUGCACUUUUAAGGUUGCCAACACAUGUUCUCCAGCCACCAUCGGCGGCGAGACGGGAUAGCGGGCGUCGCGCGCUCGAGGACGUUUAAACGCGAGACCCUCUGUAGGCGCGGCGGACGCCCGGCUGUUUCGGUGGCGAGCAACGACGAUACGACGACGGCGGCUAGCGGUACCAUCGCGGGCAACGACACCGCCCUGCGACACUUGCAAUGAUGAUUGCAGUGCUGAACGAAGACGACUAGUGGCGGUGGCCGCGGCGAGGACCGCAGAGCUCACGGGGGCGGGUGAUAGAAGUCUAAAUAAUUAAAGGCCGUUUCAGGGUUCGGCGGUGCGCGACUCCGUGGCAGGUCAUCGGUUGCGGCAGACACAGUGCCGGCGGAACGCCAGGGCGAAAUUACUGGAAGUAUCAGGACGGCGGUGCGCCGCGGUGCUGUCGGCAGAUUCUCUCCCAGUUUCGCCUAGUGGUGUCAUCCCAAGAUCUAUAGAUUGUUAUUAUUCCUUAUAGAGCUUGCUUGGGUCACCGUUCGUCUCCGGCACAACAGUCAACGUCUUCACCAGUGGCGU
Long non-coding RNA from Myzus persicae (green peach aphid), 913 nucleotides. RefSeq lists it as uncharacterized. The record is from RefSeq and is a predicted model, not a curated record. Lineage: Eukaryota; Metazoa; Arthropoda; Insecta; Hemiptera; Aphididae. The transcript has 3 exons.